This 127-nucleotide small RNA is filed under the name human gut metagenome. RNAcentral describes it as "Ribosomal protein L10 leader". It matches the Rfam family "Ribosomal protein L10 leader". Rfam says of the family: This family is a putative r-protein leader autoregulatory structure found in B. subtilis and other low-GC Gram-positive bacteria. It is located in the 5' untranslated regions of mRNAs encoding ribosomal proteins L10 and L12 (rplJ-rplL). The record is from RNAcentral. RNAcentral also lists the same sequence under 1 other name.
UUAAUGUUGCAAUCCAAAGACAGCAGGUGGCUGUAUCAGCCGUAAGCAUUACGCCUGCCGAGGUAUGCGUUUAAAUAAUUAUGUUUAUUUAAGCCCGUCCUUUGUCUUUGGACGGGCUUUAUCUUAU